GCUUAUGCAGAGAUUUUCAAAAUAGACCUAGAAGAAGGAACAGAAAAUGUCCAGCAAAGUCUUUUCACACCAGCUGCUCAGCUGGAGAAAACAGCACUUGGGAGUCAGAGAGCAAAAGUGUUCAGUGAAGAAGUUUAUUCACGAGGGAAGAGUUUCAUUGGUGUUGGAAGGAAAACACAGAAAAGUAAUCACAGCCCACUAGAUUACAACAGGUUGAAUAUUUGCUUUCUUGGUUACUACUUCUCACCAGGACACCUGAUAUUGUGUCUGCUCCCAGAUCUGCAAGUACAGCAUUAUAUAGAUCAGAUGGAUACCCUGGAAGAAAUAAGUCAAGUAGCUGUGAGGAAAAGGGACUUGGUCACUAUGUUCUGGAACAACACUUUAACAAAGAAUGGUAGUCUAUGGAUUGAUGAUAAAAUUGGAUGUAUGAAGCAGUUCCUGCUCAGUGGACAAUUUCUUAGUAAAGGGAAGCUAGAAUUUUAUUAAAAUUUUGUGGGCCCAAAAUGUUCAUGAGACUUUCCAUAUUCUAAAGAACAGGUAUUUCCAUCCUUGCAGAGGUUCCUUUGCUUCCAUUUUCUGUGCCUAUUAGUGAAAUAUAAAUAAUUCUACUACAUCUGUGGUCUUGUCUAAAAUCUCUUGUUGGUAUUUUUUUUUUCUUUUUCUUUGGGACUAAUAUCCAAUAAUCCUGAAAUGCAGUAAAAAAUGUAGUAUUUGCUUCUCUCCAACUCUUGGGGCUAAGAGCAAGCUGAGGGAU
RNAcentral lists this long non-coding RNA (754 nucleotides) under Cyanistes caeruleus (blue tit). RNAcentral describes it as "lncRNA (ENSCCEG00000023579.1)". Lineage: Eukaryota; Metazoa; Chordata; Aves; Passeriformes; Paridae. The record is from RNAcentral.